GAUGAACGCUAGCGGCAGGCCUAAUACAUGCAAGUCGAACGAGAUUAAGAGGCUUGCUUCUUAUGAAAGUGGCGCACGGGUGCGUAACGCGUAUGCAACCUACCUUAAUCAGGGGGAUAGCCCGAAGAAAUUCGGAUUAAGACCGCAUAAAAACACAGGAUAGCAUUAUCCAAUGUUCAAAUAUUUAUAGGAUUAAGAUGGGCAUGCGUGUCAUUAGCUAGUUGGCGGGGUAACGGCCCACCAAGGCGACGAUGACUAGGGGAUCUGAGAGGAUGACCCCCCACACUGGUAAUGAGACACGGACCAGAAUCCUACGGGAGGCAGCAGUAAGGAAUAUUGGUCAAUGGAGGGAACUCUGAACCAGCCAUGCCGCGUGCAGGAAGACAGCCCUCUGGGUCGUAAACUGCUUUUAUUCGGGAAUAAACCUUUCUACGUGUAGGAAGCUGAAUGUACCGAAGGAAUAAGGAUCGGCUAACUCCGUG
Molecule: ribosomal RNA, 482 nt
Filed under: uncultured bacterium
Lineage: Bacteria
Description: partial 16S ribosomal RNA
Rfam family: Bacterial small subunit ribosomal RNA
Source: RNAcentral